Molecule: unclassified non-coding RNA, 279 nt
Filed under: Basidiomycota sp.
Lineage: Eukaryota; Fungi; Basidiomycota
Description: partial contains small subunit ribosomal RNA, internal transcribed spacer 1, and 5.8S ribosomal RNA
Rfam family: Eukaryotic small subunit ribosomal RNA (bases 1-47)
Source: RNAcentral
AAAGUCGUAACAAGGUUUCCGUAGGUGAACCUGCGGAAGGAUCAUUAAUGAAUUUAUUGACAAGGCUGUUGCUGGUCUUUACAGGCAUGUGCACGCUUUGCUUCAAUUCAUCCAUUCUAUACCUCUGUGCACUCUUCAUAGGCUGGCUUAUUGGGGUUGUCACUGUAUGACCUUUGGCCUUUCUAUGCAUUUUAUUACAAACAUUUCAGGUUCAGAAUGUCUCUAUUGCGAAUGUAACGCAUAUAAAUAUAACUUUCAGCAACGGAUCUCUUGGCUCUC